AACGCGAAGAACCUUACCUACCCUUGACAUGUACGGAAGCCUCCAGAGAUGGGGGUGUGCCCGAAAGGGAGCCGUAACACAGGUGCUGCAUGGCUGUCGUCAGCUCGUGUCGUGAGAUGUUGGGUUAAGUCCCGCAACGAGCGCAACCCUUGUCCCUAGUUGCUACGCAAGGGCACUCUAGGGAGACUGCCGGUGACAAACCGGAGGAAGGUGGGGAUGACGUCAAGUCCUCAUGGCCCUUAUGGGUAGGGCUUCACACGUCAUACAAUGGCCGGUACAGAGGGUUGCCAAAGCGCGAGCUGGAGCCAAUCCCAGAAAGCCGGUCGUAGUCCGGAUUGCAGUCUGCAACUCGACUGCAUGAAGUCGGAAUCGCUAGUAAUCGCGGAUCAGCAUGUCGCGGUGAAUACGUUCCCGGGCCUUGUACACACCGGUAUCUC
RNAcentral lists this ribosomal RNA (437 nucleotides) under uncultured bacterium. RNAcentral's name for it is "bacterial SSU rRNA". It matches the Rfam family "Bacterial small subunit ribosomal RNA", at positions 958 to 1400 of the family's 1533-position model. The record is from RNAcentral.